This is a long non-coding RNA of Lagopus muta (rock ptarmigan), 884 nucleotides long. RefSeq lists it as uncharacterized. The transcript is spliced from 3 exons. The record is from RefSeq and is a predicted model, not a curated record. NCBI's taxonomy places the organism in Eukaryota, Metazoa, Chordata, Aves, Galliformes, Phasianidae.
UUUGGUUAGGAUGGCAACUGCCUAACAGCAAGAAUGUAAAAGCAAGAAUAAGAAAGCUCAGCCAGUCUGUUCUGCUUAGAAUUAUUGUUGUUUCUCUGAUCCUUUUCUCUUUGGCAGGAUCCCUAUGAAGUGGCAGCAGUUCAGGACAGAGCUAUGACACAAAUCAAGGCGCUGGUUGAAGCUUUGUUCCAGGUGCCACUGCCAAGGACCAAAUGCUUAAGCGCUGUGAAAGAAACAAAACAGGGCUCCACAAGGUCCAGCAAGUCUUCAGUGAGGUGUAUUAUAGCUGGAACAUGCACUGGAACUGCCACAUCUCCCUCCCACAAGAAUCAUCUGUAGAUUUUGGAAGACAUCAAUUUGCAGUCCAUGAUACCAGUGCAUGAUCAGCCUUAAGGACUUCAGGUCAGCCUGGGGAGCAAAGGCCUGUUCUUUUUUAAGAUACUGUUUGCAAUUAUAUUUUUGCUAUUUUGUUUAAUGGGUUUCUUUAGCUCCUGUGAGAUUUAAUACAGUAGAAGUCUUAUGAAUCUGAACAACCUACACCACUUAGUCCAGUAAACAUGCUGCAGUAUAUCUAUGCACAAAUAAUACAGUCACAUAACAGAAAACAGUUCAGCUCAGGCAGCAGAAAGCUGCAGGAACAAACUGCAGGAAAUAUUAGGAAUUUGUUUUACUAUUAUCACUAUUUCAGUUUGCUUAGUACAACACCAUUUCUCAUAUACUUAGAAUUCCAUAAAUCUCUUUUAUAUUUUAUGUUCAUUUUCUAAAAAUCCAUUCUGUCUGUGCACACAUACAAGCAUUCUCCAAAUUAAAGCUGACAUUACUUGCCAAUAAUUAAAGGUUUGAAAAAAUAAAAGUUAAAAACAAAAAUCUUCAAACCUUUCCCC